GAGUUUGAUCUUGGCUCAGAACGAACGCUGGCGGCAUGCCUAACACAUGCAAGUCGAACGCCUGUAGCAAUACAGGAGUGGCAGACGGGUGAGUAACACGUGGGAAUCUACCCAGUAGCUCGGAAUAACUGCGGGAAACUGCAGCUAAUACCGGAUAAGCCCCGAGGGGGAAAGGAGCAAUCCACUAUUGGAGGAGCCCGCGUCUGAUUAGCUAGUUGGUGAGGUAACGGCUCACCAAGGCGACGAUCAGUAGCUGGUUUGAGAGAACGACCAGCCACACUGGGACUGAGACACGGCCCAGACUCCUACGGGAGGCAGCAGUGGGGAAUAUUGGACAAUGGGGGAAAGCCUGAUCCAGCCAUGCCGCGUGAGUGAUGAAGGCCUUAGGGUUGUAAAGCUCUUUUGCCGGGGACGAUAAUGACGGUACCCGGAGAAUAAGUCCCGGCUAACUUCGUGCCAGCAGCCGCUGUAAG
This 473-nucleotide ribosomal RNA is filed under the name uncultured Alphaproteobacteria bacterium. RNAcentral's name for it is "bacterial SSU rRNA". It matches the Rfam family "Bacterial small subunit ribosomal RNA", at positions 9 to 524 of the family's 1533-position model. Lineage: Bacteria; Pseudomonadati; Pseudomonadota; Alphaproteobacteria. The record is from RNAcentral.